CAAACCCUCGACCUUGGUCGGUAUUGAGCCGGACUUUGGGUGCAAACCCAAGCUGGUUUUAAAGUGGUAGGCUUUGCUGACUGCCGCUCCAAACCAAAAACAUAGUAAAUCAUACUUGUUGAUGGCGGUGCGGUUCCAGCCUGGAAAAUGACACUUGUG
RNAcentral lists this unclassified non-coding RNA (159 nucleotides) under Dactylella tenuis. Its description in RNAcentral is "partial internal transcribed spacer 2". Lineage: Eukaryota; Fungi; Ascomycota; Orbiliomycetes; Orbiliales; Orbiliaceae. The record is from RNAcentral.